This 253-nucleotide ribosomal RNA is filed under the name uncultured bacterium. RNAcentral's name for it is "partial 16S ribosomal RNA". It matches the Rfam family "Bacterial small subunit ribosomal RNA", at positions 524 to 776 of the family's 1533-position model. The record is from RNAcentral.
UACGUAGGGUGCAAGCGUUGUCCGGAAUUAUUGGGCGUAAAGAGCUUGUAGGCGGUUUGUCGCGUCUGCUGUGAAAUUUCGGGGCUCAACCCCGAACUUGCAGUGGGUACGGGCAGACUAGAGUGUGGUAGGGGGGACUGGAAUUCCUGGUGUAGCGGUGAAAUGCGCAGAUAUCAGGAGGAACACCGGUGGCGAAGGCGGUUCUCUGGGCAUGAUCUGACGCUGAGGAGCGAAAGUGUGGGGAGCGAACAGG